CCUACGGGAGUCAGCAGUGGGGAAUAUUGCACAAUGGGGGAAACCCUGAUGCAGCAACGCCGCGUGAGUGAGGAAGUAUUUCGGUAUGUAAAGCUCUAUCAGCAGGGAAUAGAAAAGAAGGUACCUGAAAAAGAAGCACCGGCUAACUACGUUCCAGCAGCCGCGGUCAUACGUAGGGGGCAAGCGUUCACCGGAUUUAAUGGGUGGAAAGGGAGCGUAGACGGAAAGGCAAGUCAGAGGUGAAAGCCCAAGGCGCAACCAUGGGACUGCUUGUGAACCUGUCAAACUAGAGUACGGGAGAGGUAUGCGGAAUGCGUAGUGUAGCGGUGAAAUGCUUAGAUAUUGCGCAGAACUCCGAUUGCGAAGGCAGCAUACCGGCGGCGAUCUGACGCUGAGGCACGAAAGCGUGGGUAUCGAACAGGAUUAGAUACCCUUGUAGUC
Molecule: ribosomal RNA, 441 nt
Filed under: uncultured bacterium
Lineage: Bacteria
Description: partial 16S ribosomal RNA
Rfam family: Bacterial small subunit ribosomal RNA
Source: RNAcentral